Cyanistes caeruleus (blue tit) is the source of this 1493-nucleotide long non-coding RNA. RefSeq lists it as uncharacterized. Lineage: Eukaryota; Metazoa; Chordata; Aves; Passeriformes; Paridae. The record is from RefSeq and is a predicted model, not a curated record.
CCGCGGGGCGGGACACCCUGUGAGGCGGCCGCCAAUCCGCGCCCCUCGCGUCACGGAGCGACAGCAGGAUGCGCCAAUGGGAGACCAGUAUUGAGCGGCAGCGGAGAGCCGGGCCCGCCUCCUGCUCUCGGCGGCGUAGAGUGACAAGCUGCCCAAUCGGAAGCGUGCGCCCGGGUGAGGCGGGUCGAUAUGCGGCACCGCUGGCCUAUAGGCUUCCUCUGGAGCGAGAUUGACAAGACAACCGCCCAAUGACCGAGAGAGUUCGCCGGGUGGGGCGGGAGAGGGCGCGGUGAUUGACAGUUGGGUAUCUAUGGCAACGCGGGGGCCGAAGGGAAGAUCCGCAGUAGGCUCGGCUGGGCCGGACCGCGCGGAGGGGCUCAUUUGAAUAUGAUUUGCAUAUUCAGAUAGUGUGCAUAGAGACGUGGGGCGGGCCUGCCACGCACCAUGGCGAGCCUGAACGCACCGUAUAGAGCAUCUCGUUCCACCCCGUCCACUAGCCCAGGCUGCUCCAAGCCCCGUCCAGCUUGGCCUUGGACCCUUGCCGAGAUCCAGGAGCAGCCACAGCCUCUCCGGGUACCCUGUGCCAGGGCCUCACCAUCCUCACGAGGAAGAACUUCCUCCUAAAAUCUUAAAAUCCUCAGCUCUCCUUUACAUCCUAACAUAAUUCCAGUGUGGAUACAACCCUGUUCUUGAAACCUUGACGCCACGUUUAUCAACAAGCGCAGCAGGAAAUGCCAAGUUGGCAGAAAAAUUGAGGCAACCAUAAAGAGGUUGAGGCAACAACCAACAGGAUGAAAAUUCAAAAGGAAAACACAGAUUCCCAGACUACAGGAUGUCAUGACAGCUCCCGUUGUAAUGCGAUGGAGAUUCCCUUGUGGAAUGUUGUUGUCUGACACACCCAGAGUACACCAAGAGUAGAACUGCAGCCCGGUGACCCAGGGUGUUCCUCACCUGCCCCGGGGUAAUCCCAGCUCACCACAAUCCUCAGACAUUAAUUCGAUACCUGAAGGAUCAGCGAUCGACAUUCCACAAAGGGUCAGUUCUACAUGAAGCAAUCCCAGAAGGAGGAGGAGAGCCAGAGACACCAAGUAAGGCAAACUGAACAUGAGACAUCCAGUGGAGGCUGCUGCACCCAUCCUUGGGCACAUUUUCAAGCCAAGAUGAGCAGAGCCAAGAAAAUCAGCUCUGCUGUCACAGGAUAUCUGUACAACCUCUCCUGGCUGCACCGCACAAAGGGACCUGGAGGUCACCCUUUGGAUCACCAGGAUAUGUUUCCCUGAGGCCUCCUGGGACAAAACAAGGAAGACACGGAGAAUCACCAUAAGUGCUUUGCUUUUUGACUCAGUGGAUCACUCACAUUUUGGUGUGAGAUCCUCUCCUCCAGGAGUGUAGAAAGAGAAAGCUACAGCCAAGAAGAUGGUUGAGAAAUGGGAGGGAACAGACCCAAACCCAACAGCAUCAUGUACCAAGGCCUCUUCCAGCAGAACCUUCCA